AGACCCGAAACCCGGUGAUCUAGCCAUGGGCAGGUUGAAGGUUGGGUAACACUAACUGGAGGACCGAACCGACUAAUGUUGAAAAAUUAGCGGAUGACCUGUGGCUGGGGGUGAAAGGCCAAUCAAACCGGGAGAUAGCUGGUUCUCCCCGAAAGCUAUUUAGGUAGCGCCUCGUGAAUUCAUCUCCGGGGGUAGAGCACUGUUUCGGCUAGGGGGCCAUCCCGGCUUACCAACCCGAUGCAAACUGCGAAUACCGGAGAAUGUUAUCACGGGAGACACACGGCGGGUGCUAACGUCCGUCGUGAAGAGGGAAACAACCCAGACCGCCAGCUAAGGUCCCAAAGUCAUGGUUAAGUGGGAAACGAUGUGGGAAGGCCCAGACAGCCAGGAUGUUGGCUUAGAAGCAGCCAUCAUUUAAAGAAAGCGUAAUAGCUCACUGGUCGAGUCGGCCUGCGCGGAAGAUGUAACGGGGCUAAACCAUGCACCGAAGCUGCGGCAGCGAACGUAUCACCCAAGACAACUUUACGGAGUUGACGAUUGACGGAGCGAAGCGACGUCAAAGCGUUCAUUAAAGUCGAGUUGGCUUAGGGAUACGUUCGUUGGGUAGGGGAGCGUUCUGUAAGCCUGUGAAGGUGUGUCGUGAGGCAUGCUGGAGGUAUCAGAAGUGCGAAUGCUGACAUAAGUAACGAUAAAGCGGGUGAAAAGCCCGCUCGCCGGAAGACCAAGGGUUCCUGUCCAACGUUAAUCGGGGCAGGGUGAGUCGACCCCUAAGGCGAGGCCGAAAGGCGUAGUCGAUGGGAAACGGGUUAAUAUUCCCGUACUUGGUGUUACUGCGAAGGGGGGACGGAGAAGGCUAUGUUGGCCGGGCGACGGUUGUCCCGGUUUAAGCGUGUAGGUGUGUGUUCCAGGUAAAUCCGGUUCACUUUAACACUGAGGCGUGAUGACGAGGCACUACGGUGCUGAAGCAACAAAUGCCCUGCUUCCAGGAAAAGCCUCUAAGCAUCAGGUAACAUCAAAUCGUACCCCAAACCGACACAGGUGGUCAGGUAGAGAAUACCAAGGCGCUUGAGAGAACUCGGGUGAAGGAACUAGGCAAAAUGGUGCCGUAACUUCGGGAGAAGGCACGCUGACACGUAGGUGAAGUGAUUUACUCACGGAGCUGAAGUCAGUCGAAGAUACCAGCUGGCUGCAACUGUUUAUUAAAAACACAGCACUGUGCAAACACGAAAGUGGACGUAUACGGUGUGACGCCUGCCCGGUGCCGGAAGGUUAAUUGAUGGGGUCAGCGCAAGCGAAGCUCCUGAUCGAAGCCCCGGUAAACGGCGGCCGUAACUAUAACGGUCCUAAGGUAGCGAAAUUCCUUGUCGGGUAAGUUCCGACCUGCACGAAUGGCGUAAUGAUGGCCAGGCUGUCUCCACCCGAGACUCAGUGAAAUUGAACUCGCUGUGAAGAUGCAGUGUACCCGCGGCAAGACGGAAAGACCCCGUGAACCUUUACUAUAGCUUGACACUGAACAUUGAGCCUUGAUGUGUAGGAUAGGUGGGAGGCUUUGAAGUGUGGACGCCAGUCUGCAUGGAGCCGACCUUGAAAUACCACCCUUUAAUGUUUGAUGUUCUAACGUGGACCCGUAAUCCGGGUUGCGGACAGUGUCUGGUGGGUAGUUUGACUGGGGCGGUCUCCUCCUAAAGAGUAACGGAGGAGCACGAAGGUUGGCUAAUCCUGGUCGGACAUCAGGAGGUUAGUGCAAUGGCAUAAGCCAGCUUGACUGCGAGCGUGACGGCGCGAGCAGGUGCGAAAGCAGGUCAUAGUGAUCCGGUGGUUCUGAAUGGAAGGGCCAUCGCUCAACGGAUAAA
RNAcentral lists this ribosomal RNA (1853 nucleotides) under Salmonella enterica. RNAcentral's name for it is "partial 23S ribosomal RNA". It matches the Rfam family "Bacterial large subunit ribosomal RNA", at positions 711 to 2460 of the family's 2925-position model. Lineage: Bacteria; Pseudomonadati; Pseudomonadota; Gammaproteobacteria; Enterobacterales; Enterobacteriaceae. The record is from RNAcentral.